CAGCCAGGUCUGGUUUGGGAGGAGCUUCAGGCUUCAUAAGCUGGGAGGGAACUCAGCAGUGUCUGGUCUGGCAGGGUUCCUAGGUGGAGCUGACUGGAUGUAAAAGGAGGGCAAUUUCACCACAGUCCAGGAGUUGGUUACUUGCUUCUGUCUUUAGCAGUCAGACAAGCACCAUGAAGAGGCUGCUGUGCUCUCUGCUGGGGCUGCUGUGUGCCCAGGUUUGCUGGGUGAAAGGGCAACAGAUGAAGCAGAGUUCUGUGUCCUUGGUUCUGCCGGAGGAAGAGAGUGUAGAGCUGCAGUGCAACUUUUCCAUCUCUGUAAGGCAAGUGCAGUGGUUUUAUCAAAGUUCUCGGGGACACCUCAUCAGUCUGUUCUUCAAUCCUUCUGGAACAGAGCAGAGUGGAAGACUGAAGUCCACAACAGUCACUCAAGAACGCUGCAGCUUGGCGGAGCUCUCCUGAAUCCCGUCCCAGCCUUUAUCCAGGUACACCUUCCUCUCUUCCCCCCCUCCCCUCUGGAGACG
Non-coding RNA from Myodes glareolus (Bank vole), 523 nucleotides. The record is from the annotation of a RefSeq genome assembly. NCBI's taxonomy places the organism in Eukaryota, Metazoa, Chordata, Mammalia, Rodentia, Cricetidae.